GCCAAUAUGCCCCCCACCUCUCCAUCUCUUCUCUCAUCUGCUCUAUUUUCUUCCGCCGCCGGCGACAUCCUUUCCCCACGGCCAGGGAUGGUGCCCUGCUCCCCUUACUGGCAACAAGCAGCGCCGCCACACUGUGCCUCCGCCUCCUCUUCUAUUUCCCCGCCGCGUUGCUCGGUCGCGCCCCUACUCGCUCACCCGGUAAACCCUAACCUCUCCCCUGCUCCGACGCCGCCUCCUCCUCGACCCCCUAGCUCCUUCUCCACUAUAUCGACGUCGACAACCACCUCCUGGAACCCGCGCUACCAUGUCUUCCCUUCCCAUCGCUGGGCGGUUGGUGCUUCAUCGUCGAGGCAGCUGGUGCCGAUCUGGCCGCCGCACCACCUCGGGAGGAGUUGGGGUGGCGGCGCCGCUGUUGGCGGGAGGCGGCACGGUAGACAGGGAGCGACGAGGAGGUGACGCCCAUGUCAACCACAGGCCCGGAGGUCACCAGCAGGCAGCAGCUACGCGUCGCGUCGGUCCACAUCUUUGCAAAGUCUUGGAGUGGACUGUUUGAUCUGUUCCUUCUAUUGGUGCCUGCUUUUUUCUCCACACAGAUGCUUUCUGUUGUCCUCUCUACGGCCAUGUAUUGUCCACGAAAAAACAAUCUCCUGAUGCAUGAUCGAAGUUCCCAGGUGCCUGCGAGCACAUAAGGGGCUCGCUACGUUGAGUAUUAACAUAUUUCAUAAUUGUAUUUAUUUUUCCAUCUCUCAGUAGUUCUCUUCAUGUCCCAAUGCUUUUCUAUGAAAAUUAGUUUUGUUCUCUUAUGGCUGCAUGUAAGCAAGCCUGAGUUAAAGAUGAGCAAAACCAGCAAACAAUUUGGUUCUAAUACGAUGUUUUCCUAAUGAAAUGUAUUGUAAUUCUUUUGUCAGAACUGAACUGUUCUUUCUGACCUCUAGAAAGUGUCAGAUCUGACGUAUAUUUGACUUAGGGCGGCUUGAAUUUUUGCGCGGGCAAGGUCUUUCAGUCCUCAUAAAGCUCCGUAUGUGAGUUCUUGCUUAAGAGAGGCUUCAUAGCAUGUGUUGAUAAUUUCGAUCAUUAGUAGUAAAGAAACCCGCAGCUCCUCACCUGGACGGUGCUCCUCGAUCCUGCAGAUGGUCCAUCGCCGCAAGCGAUAACCAGCAGUGCUAGCGCCUGCUCCAGAUCAGGGAGCAUGGCAUCACCUGUAAGCCGCCCUGUCACCACCCAAACAACGGUCAGAAUGUCAACGCUGCAGUCGCGAGGCGGAGCACUAAGAACUAUGGUAGCAGAGGAAUCCCAUAGUAGGAGCAGCCGAGCAGGAUGGAUUUGGUUCAGGAUCAUGGUGAGGAGGGGAUACAUUACCUGGCCAGAUUGAACCUCAUGCAUGAUCUCCGGCUGCGACAUGACCGUCUUGGCUCUCUCCUGGUUCUUCUACUUCCUCACUCAAAGCUCACGCGUGGUGAAUUAGAUCAUUUUGUACGACAAAAGCACCUAGAUGUGGUUAAUCAAAAUUUAUUAGAGUGUGUAUUACAAAGUUUCUUCCAAGGUUGCUGGAUAUGCGCAUGGAAUUGAGAAAAUGGUGUUUUUGAGAUCGCCACUGACUCUCCUCUUUUAUGAGAGUGUUGAUCCGUUUAUCUUGCAUGAUUACAUUGAAACGACACACAGAAAAUCACCCUUAAAGGUAUUGCGAUUGUUUAGUUUUUUCAUGGGUCUAGGUUCAGUUUAGAUCUGGAGUGGGAGUGUUUAUAUUUAAAUAUAUACAUUGAUGCCUACUCCUUAGGCAAUACAUCUGGAAGGUUUAAACAGGAAUAUUGCAAAUAAACUAUAUUACACAGAUAGUUUCAAUGAACAAUUCUCUAGGUUCAGUGCAUAAUUUCUUAUGGAAAUGUUUUUUUUUGUCUCAUAGAUGACGAUGGUGGGACUUGAUAUAUGCACGACAUAAUAAAAUAGGAAUCACUGUAGGAAGCACAAAUAAAAAUAGCUGAUCAAAUAGGUUGAUUUCCAGGAUAAGUGCACACAUAUUACCAAAUCUAGAUUGAAUCAAUACACCUGAUCAAGUUAAGUGUUCUUCAGCUAGAGAGCAGUAAUACUAAUUGGUAGAUUAGUUGAGAAUAAUCUCUUUCAACUGUGUUCUCCGUUGUGUGUUUGAUCCAGCUUGAUGGUUGGUUUCACAUAUGUACAUCUCUUAGGUUUGCAAGCAGCUUAGUAUCAUGGGAAGUAGUGAAUCAGUGAUUUGAUGGAUCAUGGGAAGUAGUGAAUAUGUGAUUUGAUCGAUCGGCAGGUGUUCAAAAUUUUGCUACAACAUCCAGGGUUAGCAAGAGAAGUGCUUGAGGCAACCUUCUGGCUGUAGCACACAGGACACUAUCAAUUGCUACAAGGUAACCGAGAUCCAUUUUGUUCUCGCAUUCACAUAGAUUUGCCUGUCAAAUAUAAAUUAUUAAUAACAUGUAGGAUUUAAAUCGUGUUACCUUCCAAUUUAGUCCUAGAAUGUUUGAGUAUACAAAGUUAAUGGAAGAGCCAUUGCAAUUUUGGGCUCAGAACAUCCACAAGUAACUGUAAUACUAGAAGUAACCAUGCUAUAUCCCCGACUUGUGCACUAUCCUUCUAAGUUCUAACAACUUGGGGACAUUGCUGUUACUAUUUUUAGAUUUCACACUUAAAUUGGCUAAUUGAAUGAUUCCAUGCAACUAUUUUUCUGAACCAUUUCUGUUUGCCACACUGCAGUUCUGAUCAUUUUUUAAAAUUCUUUCACAACAUUGCUUUCAGUGAAAAAACAAAGAAAAUUCCACCAAAUAUAGACCCUGCAGAAUACUUCCCUUAGGGCAUGUACAUUACAAAGCGCUUGAGCAGACGCUUAAAAACUAGAAAUCCUGAUCUGCACUAGCGUCCGGCGCUAAAGACCCCUAUUUUGCAUGCGUUUCUCAAGCGUCCGGCUCCAAUCUUUCCGUCGAUGUCAAAUUAACGGCCGGGAAUAUCAUGGAAACUGCCAAAACAGCCAGGUUUUCUUUCCUAGCGCCUCUCCCUUAGCGCUCGCGCUGUACCUGCCCUUAGAGGGCCAAUUAGUUUCCAAUUGUUUUCUUCGUAAAAAAAUUCGUUGCCUCUUGUUUUAGGCGUAAAUAAACUGGAGUGCAUGGACUGGAAAAAGCUCAGUCUCAUUAGUGGGACGGAGGAAGGUCGGAUUAUUGAAAUGAGAAUCGUCAGUGAGCUUUCUCGAAUUAUUUUUUGAUAGACCAAUUCAGAUUAGUCCAAAACCUUUUUAUUUGUUUGUUUGUUGCCCAGAAAAACCCUUUGGUUUUGGAUGCUCAUUGCCAUUCUAAAAUGAUUUUGUUUUCUAGAAUCGUGAUCCCUUCUAAGUGGGUGCAUGCCAAAGCAGUACGUUACUCUAUGUUAGAACGUGGGUACUGAAAUGGUGUAUUCAGUGGAAGGGUUAGAUGCUUCUACACAUGACUCCUGCAAAGAAUAUGUUUUCAAGAACCUCA
Lolium rigidum is the source of this 3476-nucleotide long non-coding RNA. RefSeq lists it as uncharacterized. The transcript has 5 exons. The record is from RefSeq and is a predicted model, not a curated record. NCBI's taxonomy places the organism in Eukaryota, Viridiplantae, Streptophyta, Magnoliopsida, Poales, Poaceae.